This 544-nucleotide ribosomal RNA is filed under the name Hepatozoon sp. RNAcentral's name for it is "SSU rRNA". It matches the Rfam family "Eukaryotic small subunit ribosomal RNA", at positions 174 to 710 of the family's 1831-position model. Lineage: Eukaryota; Apicomplexa; Hepatozoidae. The record is from RNAcentral.
AAAUUCUCAACUGUUAUAGAAGAGAAGCAUUUAUUAGAUAAAAAACCAAUAUAUGUUGUUAAAGCAUAAAAUUUGGUGAUUUACAAUAACUAAGCAAAUCGCACAGUGGAAACUGGCGAUAAAUCAUUCAAGUUUCUGACCUAUCAGCUUUCGACGGUAAGGUAUUGGCUUACCGUGGCAGUGACGGUUAACGGGGAAUUAGGGUUCAAUUCCGGAGAGGGAGCCUGAGAAACGGCUACCACAUCUAAGGAAGGCAGCAGGCGCGCAAAUUACCCAAUUCUAACAGCAUAAGAGAGGUAGUGACAAGAAAUAACAGUACAAGGCAGUUAAAAUGCUUUGUAAUUGGAAUGAUAGAAAUUUAAAUACUUUUUAAAGUAUCAAUUGGAGGGCAAGUCUGGUGCCAGCAGCCGCGGUAAUUCCAGCUCCAAUAGCGUAUAUUAAAAUUGUUGCAGUUAAAAAGCUCGUAGUUGAAUUUUUGCUAAGAAUAACCGGUCUGCUAUUAUUACUAAAAGUGGUAUCUUGGUGUGUUUUUAGCAAUAAUAUC